RNAcentral lists this transfer RNA (84 nucleotides) under Acidimicrobiales bacterium. RNAcentral describes it as "tRNA-Leu". It matches the Rfam family "tRNA". From Rfam's summary of the family: Transfer RNA (tRNA) molecules are approximately 80 nucleotides in length. Their secondary structure includes four short double-helical elements and three loops (D, anti-codon, and T loops). The record is from RNAcentral. Lineage: Bacteria; Bacillati; Actinomycetota; Acidimicrobiia; Acidimicrobiales. RNAcentral also lists the same sequence under 3 other names.
GCGGUCGUGGCGGAACUGGCAGACGCGCAGCGUUGAGGUCGCUGUGGGAGUAAUCCCGUGGAGGUUCAAGUCCUCUCGACCGCA